AACGGCCAUACCAUGCUGCAUAUACCGGUUCUCGUUCGAUCACCGAAGUCAAGCAUCAUCGGACGCGGUCAGUACUUGGGAGGGUGACCAUCUGGGAACACCGGGUGCCGUU
This 112-nucleotide ribosomal RNA is filed under the name Caerostris extrusa. The record is from RNAcentral. Lineage: Eukaryota; Metazoa; Arthropoda; Arachnida; Araneae; Araneidae.